This 1256-nucleotide unclassified non-coding RNA is filed under the name Octopus sinensis (East Asian common octopus). Its description in RNAcentral is "protein FAM219A, transcript variant X5". The record is from RNAcentral. Lineage: Eukaryota; Metazoa; Mollusca; Cephalopoda; Octopoda; Octopodidae.
UACUUCCGGUAGUUGCAUUCGUGGGAUUCCUGAUAUAAAUAUUGUUUACUGCUGCUCGUUUAAUUUCCUUUUGCCUAAAAUGUUCUGGCAAUACUUCUCUGAUCGUUAUUGCUGUUAUAGUCCGACAUAAUAGCAAAGACAGUUCAAUUACUGGAAUCUUAUUUACUCUUUCUUUGCUCUCCAUCACUAUUUUAAUUUUCCACUCCCCGUUUGUUUUAUGUUAGCUACGAUCUGGAUUUACAAUUCACAUUGCCGAUGGAUGGUAUGGAAGACAGUGGCUUUGAUAGUGAUCCUAAGCCGGUUACACAAACAGAACAGCUGAAAAAAAUAGAGAAUUCUAAUCAUGCAAAGAAUGGUGCACAUAUAAAAGCCUUAAAGAAAGCAUCAGAAUUGCAGAAAAAGAUUGAAAGGCAAAGAGAUGCAUCACGCAAAACACAAAAUUUGGCAAUUGACCAACAACCCAAAAGAUCUUUCUUAGCCCGAAAUAGGUCAACUGUUUCCAAGAAUGACAGCAGUGGUCCAUUUAACCAAGACCAGCAGCCUUUAGUUGCGAUUAUGUCAGAUGACAGCAGCGAAGAUGAUUUUACAUCCCAUCUUUCAAAAACUGCCCACAAAGAAAUCACUGAGCAGCUUAUCAAAGAUGGUUUCAACCUUGACUUAGAACCGGAUGAUGAAGACCUUGACCUUAUUCCCCCACGUCCAAUGAAUGAACGAUGUGUGUGUUGCAAUAUGCAUUCGAACUGUGCACUCCAAUGAAUGGGACACUUAUCAACCAAAAAGAAAAACGAAACAAAAAAAGAAGAUUCGUGCUGGAAGAUUCUUGCAUUUAAUUGGAGGUUUGCAGUUGGUUGGAUAAUGUAUUGUUAAAAAUAAAGUUUUAUUAUUUGUUACUAACACUGCACUCCAUCCCUUGGAUAUAAUGCACACCAUUAUGAACUAUGAAUUCAUUUAACAUCCAUUUGCUUCAUGCUAUAUGAGUCGAGCAGAAUUUGUUGAUUUUUCAAUGGUCAGAAAUGUUUUUCAUGGAAAACUAGAAAUGAGAAACACUACUUGCAUGAUGAUGGUGGUGUUCAUUUACUACCAUCAGAUGAUGGCAAGACAAGGGUACAGCUUUACAUCUCAUCCCUGUGGAGCUGAUAAAAAUGAAGUACUAGUCAAGUACAAGAGUCAAUAUCAACAACUAUGCCUUCUACACAAAAAUGUGUCGACAUUAGAAAUUUUAUUUUAUUUUUUAAAAAUUUAAACUGAAAAUGAUU